RNAcentral lists this ribosomal RNA (444 nucleotides) under uncultured bacterium. RNAcentral describes it as "bacterial SSU rRNA". It matches the Rfam family "Bacterial small subunit ribosomal RNA", at positions 338 to 795 of the family's 1533-position model. The record is from RNAcentral.
CCUACGGGGGGCAGCAGUGGGGAAUUUUCCGCAAUGGGCGAAAGCCUGACGGAGCAAUACCGCGUGAGGGAUGAAUGCCUAUGGGUUGUAAACCUCUUUUUUCAGGGAGGAACAAAAUGACGUGUACCUGAAGAAUAAGCAUCGGCUAACUCCGUGCCAGCAGCCGCGGUAAGACGGAGGAUGCAAGUGUUAUCCGGAAUCACUGGGCGUAAAGCGUCUGUAGGUGGUUUAAUAAGUCAACUGUUAAAUCUUGAGGCUCAACCUCGAAAUCGCAGUCGAAACUAUUAGACUAGAGUAUAGUAGGGGUAAAGGGAAUUUCCAGUGGAGCGGUGAAAUGCGUAGAGAUUGGAAAGAACACCGAUGGCGAAGGCACUUUACUGGGCUAUUACUAACACUGAGAGACGAAAGCUAGGGUAGCAAAUGGGAUUAGAUACCCGGGUAGUC